RNAcentral lists this ribosomal RNA (397 nucleotides) under uncultured bacterium. Its description in RNAcentral is "bacterial SSU rRNA". It matches the Rfam family "Bacterial small subunit ribosomal RNA", at positions 28 to 429 of the family's 1533-position model. The record is from RNAcentral.
GACGAACGCUGGCGGCGUGCUUAACACAUGCAAGUCGAGCGGUAAGGCCCUUUCGGGGGUACACGAGCGGCGAACGGGUGAGUAACACGUGGGUGACCUGCCCUCAGCUCUGGGAUAAGCCUGGGAAACCGGGUCUAAUACUGGAUAUGACUCCAUGACGCAUGUUGUGGGGUGGAAAGCCUUGUGCGGCUGAGGAUGGGCCCGCGGCCUAUCAGCUUGUUGGUGGGGUGANGGCCUACCAAGGCGACGACGGGUAGCCGGCCUGAGAGGGCGACCGGCCACGCUGGGACUGAGACACGGCCCAGACUCCUACGGGAGGCAGCAGUGGGGAAUCUUGCGCAAUGGGCGAAAGCCUGACGCAGCGACGCCGCGUGAGGGAUGACGGCCUCGGUGUAAC